GAUGAACGCUGGCGGCGUGCCUAAUACAUGCAAGUCGAGCGAACGGACGAGAAGCUUGCUUUUCUGUUGUUAGCGGCGGACGGGUGAGUAACACGUGGAUAACCUACCUAUAAGACUGGGAUAACUUCGGGAAACCGGAGCUAAUACCGGAUAAUAUUUUGAACCGCAUGGUUCAAAAGUGAAAGACGGUCUUGCUGUCACUUAUAGAUGGAUCCGCGCUGCAUUAGCUAGUUGGUAAGGUAACGGCUUACCAAGGCAACGAUGCAUAGCCGACCUGAGAGGGUGAUCGGCCACACUGGAACUGAGACACGGUCCAGACUCCUACGGGAGGCAGCAGUAGGGAAUCUUCCGCAAUGGGCGAAAGCCUGACGGAGCAACGCCGCGUGGGUGAUGAAGGUCUUCGGAUCGUAAAACUCUGUUAUUAGGGAAGAACAUAUGUGUAAGUAACUGUGCACAUCUUGACGGUACCUAAUCAGAAAGCCACGGCUAACUACGUG
RNAcentral lists this ribosomal RNA (497 nucleotides) under uncultured bacterium. Its description in RNAcentral is "partial 16S ribosomal RNA". It matches the Rfam family "Bacterial small subunit ribosomal RNA", at positions 28 to 507 of the family's 1533-position model. The record is from RNAcentral.